UAAAUGUUAGAAAUCCAUUAA
Molecule: non-coding RNA, 21 nt
Filed under: Caenorhabditis elegans
Lineage: Eukaryota; Metazoa; Nematoda; Chromadorea; Rhabditida; Rhabditidae
Source: RNAcentral